This 497-nucleotide ribosomal RNA is filed under the name uncultured bacterium. RNAcentral's name for it is "partial 16S ribosomal RNA". It matches the Rfam family "Bacterial small subunit ribosomal RNA", at positions 28 to 507 of the family's 1533-position model. The record is from RNAcentral.
GAUGAACGCUGGCGGCGUGCCUAACACAUGCAAGUCGAGCGACCGCACGAUAAGCUUUCUCUUUUGCUGUUAGCGGGGGACGGGUGGGUAACAAGUGGAUAGCCUACCUCUUUUUCUGGGAGGAUAACGGAAGAAAAGAUCUGAUACCAGCUCAUAUUUUCUACCGCUGAGUGCAAAAGUGCUUGGCGCUUUUGCUGUCUGUAUUAGAUGGAUUCGCGCUGCGUUAGUUAGUUGGUAAGGUAACGGCCUACCAACGCAACGAUGCAUAGCCGACCUGAGAGGGUGAUCGGCCACACUGGAACUGAGACACGGUCCAGACUCCUACGGGAGGCAGCAGUGGGGAAUAUUGGGCAAUGGGCGAAAGCCUGACGCAGCAACGCCGCGUGAGUGAAGAAGGUCUUCGGGUCGUAAAGCUCUUUUAUUAGGAAAGAAAAUAAGCAUGUGAAACUCUCGACGUCUUGACGGUACCUAAACAGAAAGCCACGGCUAACUACGUG